AUACGGAGGCUGCGAGCGUUAUCCGGAUUUAUUAGGUUUAAAGGGUGUGUAGGCGGGAGCCUAAGUCAGUGGUGAAAUCUCACAGCUUAACUGUGAAACUGCCAUUGAAACUGGGUUUCUUGAGUAUAGUUGAGGUAGGCGGAAUGUGUAAUGUAGCGGUGAAAUGCAUAGAUAUUACACAGAACACCGAUUGCGAAGGCAGCUUACUAAGCUAUUACUGACGCUGAUGCACGAAAGCGUGGGUAGCGAACAGGAUUAGAAACCCUAGUAGUCC
Molecule: ribosomal RNA, 274 nt
Filed under: uncultured bacterium
Lineage: Bacteria
Description: partial 16S ribosomal RNA
Rfam family: Bacterial small subunit ribosomal RNA
Source: RNAcentral